AGAGUUUGAUCAUGGCUCAGGAUGAAUGCUGGCGGCGUGCCUAACACAUGCAAGUCGAGCGGCAGCGAGGGGUGCUUGCACCCUGUCGGCGAGCGGCGAACGGCUGAGUAACGCGUAGGAAUUUGCCCCAAAGUGAGGAAUAACUGCCCGAAAGGGUAGCUAAUGCCGCAUAUGGUCUUCGGAUUAAAGGAUUUAUCCGCUUUGGGAGAAGCCUGCGUUGGAUUAGGUUGUUGGUAGGGUAAUGGCCUACCAAGCCGACGAUCCAUAGCUGGUCUGAGAGGAUGAUCAGCCAGACUGGAACUGAGACACGGUCCAGACUCCUACGGGAGGCAGCAGUGAGGAAUCUUCCACAAUGGGCGAAAGCCUGAUGGAGCAACGCCGCGUGAAGGAUGAAGGCCUUCGGGUUGUAAACUUCUUUUAUGAGUGAAGAAUAUGACGGUAACUCAUGAAUAAGCACCGGCUAACUACGUGCCAGCAGCCGCGGUCAUACGUAGGGUGCAAGCAUUAUCCGGAGUGACUGGGCGUAAAGAGUUGCGUAGGCGGUUUAAUAAGUGAAUAGUGAAACCUGGUGGCUCAACCAUACAGACUAUUAUUCAAACUGUUAAACUCGAGAAUGGUAGAGGUAACUGGAAUUUCUUGUGUAGGAGUGAAAUCCGUAGAUAUAAGAAGGAACACCAAUGGCGUAGGCAGGUUACUGGGCCAUUUCUGACGCUAAGGCACGAAAGCGUGGGGAGCGAACCGGAUUAGAUACCCUGGUAGUCCAA
Molecule: ribosomal RNA, 764 nt
Filed under: uncultured bacterium
Lineage: Bacteria
Description: bacterial SSU rRNA
Rfam family: Bacterial small subunit ribosomal RNA
Source: RNAcentral